Molecule: ribosomal RNA, 496 nt
Filed under: uncultured bacterium
Lineage: Bacteria
Description: partial 16S ribosomal RNA
Rfam family: Bacterial small subunit ribosomal RNA
Source: RNAcentral
AUUGAACGCUGGCGGAAUGCUUUACACAUGCAAGUCGAACGGUAGAGGGGGCAACCCCUCGAGAGUGGCGAACGGGUGAGUAAUAUAUCGGAACGUGCCCAGUCGCGGGGGAUAACGUAGCGAAAGUUACGCUAAUACCGCAUACGAUCUAAGGAUGAAAGCGGGGGAUCGCAAGACCACGAGCGAUUGGAGCGGCCGAUAUCAGAUUAGGUAGUUGGUGGGGUAAAGGCUCACCAAGCCAACGAUCUGUAGCUGGUCUGAGAGGACGACCAGCCACACUGGAACUGAGACACGGUCCAGACUCCUACGGGAGGCAGCAGUGGGGAAUUUUGGACAAUGGACGCAAGUCUGAUCCAGCCAUUCCGCGUGCAGGAUGAAGACCCUCGGGUUGUAAACUGCUUUUGUACGGAACGAAAAGGUCUCUCUUAAUACGGGGGACUCAUGACGGUACCGUAAGAAUAAGCACCGGCUAACUACGUGCCAGCAGCCGCCGUAA